Molecule: unclassified non-coding RNA, 335 nt
Filed under: soil metagenome
Description: partial contains 5.8S ribosomal RNA, internal transcribed spacer 2, and large subunit ribosomal RNA
Rfam family: 5.8S ribosomal RNA (bases 1-120)
Source: RNAcentral
GAUGAAGAACGUAGCGAAAUGCGAUAAGUAGUGUGAAUUGCAGAAUUCAGUGAAUCAUCGAAUCUUUGAACGCACAUUGCGCCCCUUGGUACUCCAUGGGGCAUGCCUGUUCGAGCGUCAUUUACACCCUCAAGCUCAGCUUGGUGUUGGGCGUCUGUCCCGCUUCGUGCGCGGACUCGCCUCAAAUGCAUUGGCAGCUGUCUUGCCAGCUUCUCGCGCAGCACAUUGCGCUUCUAGAGGCUUUGGCGGAUCGGCGUCCAUCAAGUACACCCACAGUUUGACCUCGGAUCAGGUAGGGAUACCCGCUGAACUUAAGCAUAUCAAUAAGCGGAGGA